This 56-nucleotide transfer RNA is filed under the name Protaeolidiella atra. RNAcentral's name for it is "tRNA-Ser". The record is from RNAcentral. Lineage: Eukaryota; Metazoa; Mollusca; Gastropoda; Nudibranchia; Aeolidiidae.
UAAAUAUAUUUUGUUUUUAUAAGGGUUUUGAAAACCUUUGAUGGGAAAAUUUCCCA